AACGAACGCUGGCGGCAGGCCUAACACAUGCAAGUCGAGCGAGGACUUCGGUUCUAGCGGCGGACGGGUGAGUAACGCGCGGGAAUGUGCCCUUCUCUACGGAAUAGCCCUGGGAAACUGGGAGUAAUACCGUAUACGCCCUAUUGGGGAAAGAUUUAUCGGAGAAGGAUCAGCCCGCGUUGGAUUAGGUAGUUGGUGGGGUAAUGGCCUACCAAGCCGACGAUCCAUAGCUGGUUUGAGAGGAUGAUCAGCCACACUGGGACUGAGACACGGCCCAGACUCCUACGGGAGGCAGCAGUGGGGAAUCUUAGACAAUGGGGGCAACCCUGAUCUAGCCAUGCCGCGUGAGUGAUGAAGGCCUUAGGGUUGUAAAGCUCUUUCAGCUGGGAAGAUAAUGACGGUACCAGCAGAAGAAGCCCCGGCUAACUCCGUG
Molecule: ribosomal RNA, 433 nt
Filed under: uncultured bacterium
Lineage: Bacteria
Description: partial 16S ribosomal RNA
Rfam family: Bacterial small subunit ribosomal RNA
Source: RNAcentral